UUCUAGAGUCGUCAUGCUCACGUAGUGCAUCAUCGCCUUAAUCAAUUCAUUUGAUGAACAAAACAAAAAUGCUAAGAGAAACUAAAAAUUCGAACGCGUCGAUUUUUUUCCCCAUUUUCUCUCAACUUUUUUUUUUCAUUCUUCGCCACUGUAACCCGAUCGUUACCGUGUCCCCUUUUCUUCUACCAUCAAUUAAUACGAUUGGGUGAGAUUAGUGCCUUAUUGAUUAAUCAAUUAGUGAAUUA
This 245-nucleotide long non-coding RNA is filed under the name Oryza brachyantha (malo sina). Its description in RNAcentral is "long non-coding RNA (OBRA_LNC001526)". The record is from RNAcentral. Lineage: Eukaryota; Viridiplantae; Streptophyta; Magnoliopsida; Poales; Poaceae.